Molecule: ribosomal RNA, 1343 nt
Filed under: uncultured bacterium
Lineage: Bacteria
Description: 16S ribosomal RNA
Rfam family: Bacterial small subunit ribosomal RNA
Source: RNAcentral
GACGAACGCUGGCGGCGUGCUUAACACAUGCAAGUCGAACGGAAAGGCCCUGCUUUUGUGGGGUGCUCGAGUGGCGAACGGGUGAGUAACACGUGAGUAACCUGCCCUUGACUUUGGGAUAACUUCAGGAAACUGGGGCUAAUACCGGAUAGGAGCUCCUGCUGCAUGGUGGGGGUUGGAAAGUUUCGGCGGUUGGGGAUGGACUCGCGGCUUAUCAGCUUGUUGGUGGGGUAGUGGCUUACCAAGGCUUUGACGGGUAGCCGGCCUGAGAGGGUGACCGGCCACAUUGGGACUGAGAUACGGCCCAGACUCCUACGGGAGGCAGCAGUGGGGAAUAUUGCACAAUGGGCGGAAGCCUGAUGCAGCAACGCCGCGUGCGGGAUGACGGCCUUCGGGUUGUAAACCGCUUUCGCCUGUGACGAAGCGUGAGUGACGGUAAUGGGUAAAGAAGCACCGGCUAACUACGUGCCAGCAGCCGCGGUGAUACGUAGGGUGCGAGCGUUGUCCGGAUUUAUUGGGCGUAAAGGGCUCGUAGGUGGUUGAUCGCGUCGGAAGUGUAAUCUUGGGGCUUAACCCUGAGCGUGCUUUCGAUACGGGUUGACUUGAGGAAGGUAGGGGAGAAUGGAAUUCCUGGUGGAGCGGUGGAAUGCGCAGAUAUCAGGAGGAACACCAGUGGCGAAGGCGGUUCUCUGGGCCUUUCCUGACGCUGAGGAGCGAAAGCGUGGGGAGCGAACAGGCUUAGAUACCCUGGUAGUCCACGCUGUAAACGGUGGGUACUAGGUGUGGGGUCCAUUCCACGGGUUCCGUGCCGUAGCUAACGCUUUAAGUACCCCGCCUGGGGAGUACGGCCGCAAGGCUAAAACUCAAAGGAAUUGACGGGGCCCCGCACAAGCGGCGGAGCAUGCGGAUUAAUUCGAUGCAACGCGUAGAACCUUACCUGGGUUUGACAUGGAUCGGGAGUGCUCAGAGAUGGGUGUGCCUCUUUUGGGGUCGGUUCACAGGUGGUGCAUGGCUGUCGUCAGCUCGUGUCGUGAGAUGUUGGGUUAAGUCCCGCAACGAGCGCAACCCUUGUUCACUGUUGCCAGCACGUUAUGGUGGGGACUCAGUGGAGACCGCCGGGGUCAACUCGGAGGAAGGUGGGGAUGACGUCAAGUCAUCAUGCCCCUUAUGUCCAGGGCUUCACGCAUGCUACAAUGGCUGGUACAGAGAGUGGCGAGCCUGUGAGGGUGAGCGAAUCUCGGAAAGCCGGUCUCAGUUCGGAUUGGGGUCUGCAACUCGACCUCAUGAAGUCGGAGUCGCUAGUAAUCGCAGAUCGGCAACGCUGCGGCGAAUACGUUCCCGGG